GAUGAAGAACGUAGCGAAAUGCGAUAAGUAAUGUGAAUUGCAGAAUUCAGUGAAUCAUCGAAUCUUUGAACGCGCAUUGCGCCCCCUGGUAUUCCGGGGGGCAUGCCUGUUCGAGCGUCAUUUCACCACUCAAGCCUCGCUUGGUAUUGGGCAACGCGGUCCGCCGCGUGCCUCAAAUCGUCCGGCUGGGUCUUCUGUCCCCUAAGCGUUGUGGAAACUAUUCGCUAAAGGGUGUUCGGGAGGCUACGCCGUAAAACAACCCCAUUUCUAAGGUUGACCUCGGAUCAGGUAGGGAUACCCGCUGAACUUAAGCAUAUCAAUAAGCGGAGGA
Molecule: unclassified non-coding RNA, 331 nt
Filed under: soil metagenome
Description: partial contains 5.8S ribosomal RNA, internal transcribed spacer 2, and large subunit ribosomal RNA
Rfam family: 5.8S ribosomal RNA (bases 1-120)
Source: RNAcentral